RNAcentral lists this ribosomal RNA (573 nucleotides) under Fusarium sp. P15. RNAcentral's name for it is "eukaryotic LSU rRNA". The stretch from base 209 to 362 matches the Rfam family "5.8S ribosomal RNA". The record is from RNAcentral. Lineage: Eukaryota; Fungi; Ascomycota; Sordariomycetes; Hypocreales; Nectriaceae.
AGAGGAAGUAAAAGUCGUAACAAGGUCUCCGUUGGUGAACCAGCGGAGGGAUCAUUACCGAGUUUACAACUCCCAAACCCCUGUGAACAUACCUUAAUGUUGCCUCGGCGGAUCAGCCCGCGCCCCGUAAAACGGGACGGCCCGCCAGAGGACCCAAACUCUAAUGUUUCUUAUUGUAACUUCUGAGUAAAACAAACAAAUAAAUCAAAACUUUCAACAACGGAUCUCUUGGUUCUGGCAUCGAUGAAGAACGCAGCAAAAUGCGAUAAGUAAUGUGAAUUGCAGAAUUCAGUGAAUCAUCGAAUCUUUGAACGCACAUUGCGCCCGCUGGUAUUCCGGCGGGCAUGCCUGUUCGAGCGUCAUUUCAACCCUCAAGCCCCCGGGUUUGGUGUUGGGGAUCGGCUCUGCCUUCUGGCGGUGCCGCCCCCGAAAUACAUUGGCGGUCUCGCUGCAGCCUCCAUUGCGUAGUAGCUAACACCUCGCAACUGGAACGCGGCGCGGCCAUGCCGUAAAACCCCAACUUCUGAAUGUUGACCUCGGAUCAGGUAGGAAUACCCGCUGAACUUAAGCAUA